Long non-coding RNA from Platichthys flesus (European flounder), 678 nucleotides. RefSeq lists it as uncharacterized. The transcript has 3 exons. The record is from RefSeq and is a predicted model, not a curated record. NCBI's taxonomy places the organism in Eukaryota, Metazoa, Chordata, Actinopteri, Pleuronectiformes, Pleuronectidae.
AAGGAGAGUGGAGUCAUUCAGGUUUUCAACCCAUUAAAAAAUGAAAAGAUCAAAAAAAAGGAAGUGGCGUCUAGUCACACGCACGUCUCUGAGUGAAGGCAGUGGAUCGUUCAGUCGUGUGACGCAGAUAACUUCAACAGCACAAAGUCAACGUGAUCUGAAGCAGGAUGACUGCGGACACAGAGGAGGUGACGGCCCCUCCUGACGUCACUCCGGGUAAAGAGCCCCAGAGCAAAGUCCGAGGUGAGAAGAAGAGUUAAUAUCCUUCAUCAAAUGUUGAUGUUUAAACUUCAGUGGCCUGUUAUCAGGAGAAACAUCAGGUUCAGUUCAUUUUCUCUAAAUUGUCCUCCUCUGUCCUCAGGUUGAUCACCCACUGGAGCAACCUGUCCAUGGAGCAACCGCUGCCAUUCAGGCGACAGAGGCCAUACUCUGCCAGGAACAUGCGGGCGGUGUCUAUGAGGUCACCUCCGUCAUUCAAGCGACAGCCGAUUAGACGGUAAGUGAACGUCCUGAUGUGAGCACACACAGAAUCAUUUCACAUGAAGGAGGCAAAGUGAAUCAUACUGAUCAGUAAAGUGACUCCUCUAAACAUCCUGAACUAAAAACACUAGAGAGAAAACGACUCAGUUGAGCAGUGAGAGGAAGAGGAGGAGACUCAGGAGGAGCUCUGAUGUUUGA